ACCUGCUCUGUUGAGGUACACCGAUGGGAAGCUAAACUCCAUCUACCUGUUCUGUUGAGGUACACCGAUGGGAAGCUAAACUCCAUCUACCUGUUCUGUUGAGGUACACCGAUGGGAAGCUAAACUCCACCUACCUGCUCUGUUGAGGUACACCGAUGGGAAGCUAAACUCCACCUACCUGCUCUGUUGAGGUACACCGAUGGGAAGCUAAACUCCACCUACCUGCUCUGUUGAGGUACACCGAUGGGAAGCUAAACUCCACCUACCUGCUCUGUUGAGGUACACCGAUGGGAAGCUAAACUCCACCUACCUGCUCUGUUGAGGUACACCGAUGGGAAGCUAAACUCCACCUACCUGCUCUGUUGAGGUACACCGAUGGGAAGCUAAACUCCACCUACCUGCUCUGUUGAGGUACACCGAUGGGAAGCUAAACUCCACCUACCUGCUCUGUUGAGGUACACCGAUGGGAAGCUAAACUCCACCUACCUGCUCUGUUGAGGUACAC
Long non-coding RNA from Oncorhynchus keta (chum salmon), 505 nucleotides. RefSeq lists it as uncharacterized. The transcript has 4 exons. The record is from RefSeq and is a predicted model, not a curated record. NCBI's taxonomy places the organism in Eukaryota, Metazoa, Chordata, Actinopteri, Salmoniformes, Salmonidae.